AAUGGGAUGCCAAUGGAUUCUAGAAAGCAGCAUGGUGUUAGCAAUGGUAUGGGGCCAGGCCGGCCUGGUGGUGUUAGCAAUGGUAUGGGGCCUGGCCGGCCUGGUGGUGCUAGCAAUGGUACCGGGCCUAGCCGACCUGGUGGUGUAAGCAAUGGUACUGGGCCUGGUCGGCCUGGUGGUGCUAACAGUGGUUCUGUUCCUGGCCGGGCUGGUGCUGCUAGCAAUGGUGCAGGGUCUGGCCGGCCUGUUGGCGCAAGCAAUGGUGCAGGGUCUGGCCGGCCUGCUGGCCCUAAAGCUGUGCCUUCAAAGAUGCCUAUCGCAAAGAUGGAGAAGAAGAUUCCUCCACCUACUUCUAGGAAUCUCCCACCUAGUGCGCACAAAGCACCCCCCUCAAAAAUGCACUCAUCUGAUUCAAGA
This 417-nucleotide long non-coding RNA is filed under the name Gossypium barbadense (sea-island cotton). Its description in RNAcentral is "long non-coding RNA (GBAR_LNC001780)". Lineage: Eukaryota; Viridiplantae; Streptophyta; Magnoliopsida; Malvales; Malvaceae. The record is from RNAcentral.